RNAcentral lists this ribosomal RNA (482 nucleotides) under uncultured bacterium. Its description in RNAcentral is "SSU rRNA". It matches the Rfam family "Bacterial small subunit ribosomal RNA", at positions 26 to 521 of the family's 1533-position model. The record is from RNAcentral.
AGGACGAACGCUGGCGGCGUGCUUAACACAUGCAAGUCGAGCGAGGCUCUCUCCUUCGGGAGGGAUGCCCUAGCGGCGAACGGGUGAGUAACACGUGGGCAACCUGCCCCUAGCACUGGGAUAACUCCGGGAAACCGGGGCUAAUACCGGAUACGACCUCUGAGGGCAUCCUCCGGAGGUGGAAAGCAUUGUGGCUAGGGAUGGGCCCGCGGCCUAUCAGCUUGUUGGUGAGGUAACGGCCCACCAAGGCGACGACGGGUAGCCGGCCUGAGAGGGCGACCGGCCACACUGGGACUGAGACACGGCCCAGACUCCUACGGGAGGCAGCAGUGGGGAAUAUUGCACAAUGGGCGAAAGCCUGAUGCAGCGACGCCGCGUGAGGGAUGACUGCCUUCGGGUUGUAACCUCUUUCAGCAGGGACGAAGCGAAAGUGACGGUACCUGCAGAAGAGCACCGGCCAACUACGUGCCAGCAGCCGCGGU